Molecule: unclassified non-coding RNA, 193 nt
Rfam family: Eukaryotic small subunit ribosomal RNA (bases 1-46)
AAGUCGUAACAAGGUUUCCGUAGGUGAACCUGCGGAAGGAUCAUUAUAAAAUUUUCAUAUAUUAUUUAUUUAAUAUAUAAAAUUAUAUACAAAAUGUAUUCAAAACCCACACACUUUAUAACCAAAAAAAAAUAUAUAUAUUUUAAAUAUAUAUAUAAAAAAACAACUUUCAACAACGGAUCUCUUGGCUCUC